This 460-nucleotide ribosomal RNA is filed under the name uncultured bacterium. Its description in RNAcentral is "partial 16S ribosomal RNA". It matches the Rfam family "Bacterial small subunit ribosomal RNA", at positions 338 to 795 of the family's 1533-position model. The record is from RNAcentral.
CCUACGGGUGGCAGCAGUGAGGAAUAUUGGUCAAUGGGCGGAAGCCUGCACCAGCCAAGUCGCGUGAGGGAAUCAGGUCCUACGGGUCGUAAACCUCUUUUGCCGGGGAGCACGGGCGGGGACGUGUACCGGCCCGGAGAGUACCCGGAGAAAACGCAUCGGCUAACUCCGUGCCAGCAGCCGCGGUCAUACCGAGGAUGCGAGCGUUAUCCGGAUUUAUUGGGUUUAAAGGGUGCGUAGGCGGGCUUUUAAGUCAGCGUUAACAAUUCAGGGCUCAACCCCGGCCGGCCGUUGAAACUGGGUGCCUUGAGUGGGCGAGAAGAAGGCGGAAUGCGUGGUGUAGCGGUGAAAUGCAGAGAGAUCACGCAGAACCCCGAUUGCGAAGGCAGCCUUCCGGCGCCCUACUGACGCUGAGGCACGAAAGUGCGGGGAUCGAACAGGAUUAGAUACCCGUGUAGUC